This 781-nucleotide ribosomal RNA is filed under the name Spodocybe alpina. RNAcentral describes it as "Spodocybe sp. JM-2022b partial large subunit ribosomal RNA". It matches the Rfam family "Eukaryotic large subunit ribosomal RNA", at positions 81 to 838 of the family's 3401-position model. The record is from RNAcentral. Lineage: Eukaryota; Fungi; Basidiomycota; Agaricomycetes; Agaricales; Hygrophoraceae.
UAGUAACUGCGAGUGAAGCGGGAAGAGCUCAAAUUUGAAAUCUGGCGGUCCUCGUGGCCGUCCGAGUUGUAACCUAGAGAAGUGCUAUCCGCGCUGGACCGUGUACAAGUCUCCUGGAACGGAGCGUCACAGAGGGUGAGAAUCCCGUCUUUGACACGGACUACCAGGGCUUUUGUGAUGCGCUCUCGAAGAGUCGAGUUGUUUGGGAAUGCAGCUCAAAAUGGGUGGUAAAUUCCAUCUAAAGCUAAAUAUUGGCGAGAGACCGAUAGCGAACAAGUACCGUGAGGGAAAGAUGAAAAGAACUUUGGAAAGAGAGUUAAACAGUACGUGAAAUUGUUGAAAGGGAAACGCUUGAAGUCAGUCGCGUCGGCCAGGGAUCAACCUUGCAUUUGUUUGCUGGGAGUACUUCCUGGUCGACGGGUCAGCAUCAAUUUUGAUCGUCGGAUAAAGGCUUAGGGAAUGUGGCAUCCUCGGAUGUGUUAUAGCCCUUGGUCGCAUGCGACGGUCGGGAUUGAGGAACUCAGCACGCCGCAAGGCCGGGGUAUUCGUACCCACGUUCGUGCUUAGGAUGCUGGCAUAAUGGCUUUAAUCGACCCGUCUUGAAACACGGACCAAGGAGUCUAACAUGCCCGCGAGUGUUUGGGUGGAAAACCCGAGCGCGUAAUGAAAGUGAAAGUUGAGACCUCUGUCGUGGAGGGCAUCGACGCCCGGACCAGACCUUCUGUGACGGAUCCGCGGUAGAGCGUGCAUGUUGGGACCCGAAAGAUGGUGAACUAUGCCU